RNAcentral lists this transfer RNA (85 nucleotides) under Taibaiella chishuiensis. It matches the Rfam family "tRNA". From Rfam's summary of the family: Transfer RNA (tRNA) molecules are approximately 80 nucleotides in length. Their secondary structure includes four short double-helical elements and three loops (D, anti-codon, and T loops). Lineage: Bacteria; Pseudomonadati; Bacteroidota; Chitinophagia; Chitinophagales; Chitinophagaceae. The record is from Rfam by way of RNAcentral.
GGUAGAUUACUCAAAUGGUCAAGAGGGCAGUUUGCUAAACUGUUAGGGCCGCAAGGCUGCAUUGGUUCGAAUCCAAUAUCUACCG